AGAGUUUGAUCCUGGCUCAGGAUGAACGCCGGCGGUGUGCCUAAUACAUGCAAGUCGUACGCACUGGCCCAACUGAUUGAUGGUGCUUGCACCUGAUUGACGAUGGAUCACCAGUGAGUGGCGGACGGGUGAGUAACACGUAGGUAACCUGCCUCGGAGCGGGGGAUAACAUUUGGAAACAGAUGCUAAUACCGCAUAACAACAAAAGCCACAUGGCUUUUGUUUGAAAGACGGCUUUGGCUAUCACUCUGGGAUGGACCUGCGGUGCAUUAGCUAGUUGGUAAGGUAACGGCUUACCAAGGCAAUGAUGCAUAGCCGAGUUGAGAGACUGAUCGGCCACAAUGGAACUGAGACACGGUCCAUACUCCUACGGGAGGCAGCAGUAGGGAAUCUUCCACAAUGGGCGCAAGCCUGAUGGAGCAACACCGCGUGAGUGAAGAAGGGUUUCGGCUCGUAAAGCUCUGUUGUUGGAGAAGAACGUGCGUGAGAGUAACUGUUCACGCAGUGACGGUAUCCAACCAGAAAGUCACGGCUAACUACGUGCCAGCAGCCGCGGUAAUACGUAGGUGGCAAGCGUUAUCCGGAUUUAUUGGGCGUAAAGCGAGCGCAGGCGGUUGCUUAGGUCUGAUGUGAAAGCCUUCGGCUUAACCGAAGAAGUGCAUCGGAAACCGGGCGACUUGAGUGCAGAAGAGGACAGUGGAACUCCAUGUGUAGCGGUGGAAUGCGUAGAUAUAUGGAAGAACACCAGUGGCGAAGGCGGCUGUCUGGUCUGCAACUGACGCUGAGGCUCGAAAGCAUGGGUAGCGAACAGGAUUAGAUACCCUGGUAGUCCAUGCCGUAAACGAUGAGUGCUAGGUGUUGGAGGGUUUCCACCCUUCAGUGCCGGAGCUAACGCAUUAAGCACUCCGCCUGGGGAGUACGACCGCAAGGUUGAAACUCAAAGGAAUUGACGGGGGCCCGCACAAGCGGUGGAGCAUGUGGUUUAAUUCGAAGCUACGCGAAGAACCUUACCAGGUCUUGACAUCUUGCGCUAACCUUAGAGAUAAGGCGUUCCCUUCGGGGACGCAAUGACAGGUGGUGCAUGGUCGUCGUCAGCUCGUGUCGUGAGAUGUUGGGUUAAGUCCCGCAACGAGCGCAACCCUUGUUACUAGUUGCCAGCAUUAAGUUGGGCACUCUAGUGAGACUGCCGGUGACAAACCGGAGGAAGGUGGGGACGACGUCAGAUCAUCAUGCCCCCUAUGACCUGGGCUACACACGUGCUACAAUGGACGGUACAACGAGUCGCAAGCUCGCGAGAGUAAGCUAAUCUCUUAAAGCCGUUCUCAGUUCGGACUGUAGGCUGCAACUCGCCUACACGAAGUCGGAAUCGCUAGUAAUCGCGGAUCAGCAUGCCGCGGUGAAUACGUUCCCGGGCCUUGCACACACCGCCCGUCA
Molecule: ribosomal RNA, 1434 nt
Filed under: uncultured bacterium
Lineage: Bacteria
Description: bacterial SSU rRNA
Rfam family: Bacterial small subunit ribosomal RNA
Source: RNAcentral